Molecule: ribosomal RNA, 231 nt
Filed under: uncultured soil bacterium
Lineage: Bacteria
Description: partial 16S ribosomal RNA
Rfam family: Bacterial small subunit ribosomal RNA
Source: RNAcentral
AGAGUGAACGCUGGCGGUAGGCCUAACACAUGCAAGUCGAACGGCAGCACAGUGGUAAGCAAUACCAUGGGUGGCGAGUGGCGGACGGGUGAGGAAUACAUCGGAAUCUACCUUUUCGUGGGGGAUAACGUAGGGAAACUUACGCUAAUACCGCAUACGCCCGUUCGGGGGAAAGCCGGGGAUCGCAAGACCUGGCGCGGAUAGAUGAGCCGAUGGUCGGAUUAGCUAGUU